This 779-nucleotide ribosomal RNA is filed under the name uncultured bacterium. RNAcentral's name for it is "bacterial SSU rRNA". It matches the Rfam family "Bacterial small subunit ribosomal RNA", at positions 43 to 810 of the family's 1533-position model. The record is from RNAcentral.
CAGGCUUAACACAUGCAAGUCGAGGGGCAGCAUGAAAGUUUGCUUGCAAACUUUUGAUGGCGACCGGCGCACGGGUGAGUAACACGUAUCCAACCUGCCUCAUACUCGGGGAUAGCCUUUCGAAAGAAAGAUUAAUACCCGAUGUCAUAGUCCUACCGCAUGAUGGGAUUAUUAAAGAAUUUCGGUAUGGGAUGGGAUGCGUUCCAUUAGUUAGUUGGCGGGGUAACGGCCCACCAAGACAACGAUGGAUAGGGGUUCUGAGAGGAAGGUCCCCCACAUUUGAACUGAGACACGGUCCAAACUCCUACGGGAGGCAGCAGUGAGGAAUAUUGGUCAAUGGACGAGAGUCUGAACCAGCCAAGUAGCGUGAAGGAUGACUGCCCUAUGGGUUGUAAACUUCUUUUAUAUGGGAAUAAAAUGUUCCACGUGUGGGAUUUUGUAUGUACCAUAUGAAUAAGGAUCGGCUAACUCCGUGCCAGCAGCCGCGGUAAUACGGAGGAUCCGAGCGUUAUCCGGAUUUAUUGGGUUUAAAGGGAGCGUAGGUGGAUUGUUAAGUCAGUUGUGAAAGUUUGCGGCUCAACCGUAAAAUUGCAGUUGAAACUGGCAGUCUUGAGUACAGUAGAGGUGGGCGGAAUUCGUGGUGUAGCGGUGAAAUGCUUAGAUAUCACGAAGAACUCCGAUUGCGAAGGCAGCUCACUGGACUGCAACUGACACUGAGGCUCGAAAGUGUGGGUAUCAAAGCAGGAUUAGAUACCCUGGUAGUCCACACAGUAAACGAU